This 889-nucleotide long non-coding RNA is filed under the name Hordeum vulgare. RNAcentral describes it as "long non-coding RNA (HVUL_LNC012285)". Lineage: Eukaryota; Viridiplantae; Streptophyta; Magnoliopsida; Poales; Poaceae. The record is from RNAcentral.
CACCUAUGGUGCAGGCCUACCUCUCCUCUUCUCGUCCUCCGCGGUGCAUGGCGAGGCCCUACCGGAGAACCACAUAGCUCCACGACCACCACGCCAUCGUCCUGCUGGAGUUGCCCCUCAACUUAUCCUCCCUCCUUGCUGGAUCAAGAAGGAGGAGACGUCCCCGGGCUAUAGGUGUGUUGUACGCGAAGACACCGUGCGUUCGGUGUUCGGAUCGGAUCUUCCGCGAUUUGAAUCGCCGCAAGUACGACUCCAUCGUCCGCAUUCAUAGUAACGCUUCCGCUAUGCGAUCUUUAACGGUAUGAAGAUGCUCUACCCCUUUGCUCGUUGCUAGUUUCUCCUAGAUAGAUCCUUGUGUGACGUAGGAUUUUUUUUGAAAUUACUACGUUCCCCAACAGUGGCAUCCGAGCAAGUUUCUAUGCGUAGAUUCUAUGCACGAGUAGAAUACAAAAGUUGUGGGCGAUGAUUUUAUCAACAAGUCUUAUCUUGAUUCGGCGGCAUCAUGGGAUGAAGUGGCCCAGACCGACUUCACACGUACUUUUACGUGAGACUAGUUCCACCUCCCCACAUGCACUUGUUGCAUAAGGUGGCUAGGGGGUGUUUGUCUCUCCCACUUUAGUCGGAUCGGAUUUGAUGAAGAGGGUCCUUAUGAAGGGUAAAUAGCAUUGGCAUAUCAAUGUUGUGGUUGUCACGUAGGUAAGAAGCGUUCUUGCUAGAAACCUAAAUCGGCCACGUAAAACUUGCAACAACAAUUAGAGGACGUCUAACUUGUUUUUGGAGGGUAUGCUAUGUGAUGUGAUAUGGCCAAAAGGAUGUGAUGUAUGAGAUUGAUCAUGUUCUUGUAAUAGGAUUCAUGACUUGCAUGUCGAUGAGUAUGACAACCGGCAGG